Molecule: ribosomal RNA, 248 nt
Filed under: uncultured Defluviitaleaceae bacterium
Lineage: Bacteria; Bacillati; Bacillota; Clostridia; Lachnospirales; Defluviitaleaceae
Description: partial 16S ribosomal RNA
Rfam family: Bacterial small subunit ribosomal RNA
Source: RNAcentral
UACGUAGGGGGCAAGCGUUAUCCGGAAUUACUGGGUGUAAAGGGUGCGUAGGCGGCCCGGCAAGUCAGUUGUGAAACCCGAUAGCUCAACUAUCGGCUUGCAAUUGAAACUGUCAGGCUAGAGUACAGGAGAGGAAAGCGGAAUUCCUAGUGUAGCGGUGAAAUGCGUAGAUAUUAGGAAGAACACCAGUGGCGAAGGCGGCUUUCUGGACUGAAACUGACGCUGAGGCACGAAAGCGUGGGGAGCAA